GCCAUACCCUAAAUUUCACUUACACUUAAAACGCCAGGGUACUACGAGCCCCGCUUAAAACCCAAAGGAUUUGACGGUGUUCCACCCAACUAGAGGAGCCUGUUCUAUAAUCGACAAUCCACGAUACACCUAACCAUUUUUUGCCACUCAGCCUGUAUACCUCCGUCGUAAGCUUAUCAUUUGAAUGAGAAAAAGUAAGCACAAGGACUAAAAGCCAAAACGUCAGGUCAAGGUGCAGCUUAUAAAAUGGAAGAAAUGAGCUACAAUUUCUAAUUUAGAACACACGAAUUACUGCAUGAAACAAAGUCAUGAAGGUGGAUUUAGCAGUAAGUAAGGAAUAGAGAGCCUUACUUAAUUUGGCCCUGGAACGUGUACAAACCGCCCGUCACCCUCUUCGAUAGCUUUUAACCAGUUAAAUAACCUAUUUACCGCGUCUUAGAAGAGGCAAGUCGUAACAUGGUAAGUAUACUGGAAAGUGUACUUGGAAUACCAAAAUGUAGCUUAAUAAAAGCCCCCCGCUUACACCGGGAAAAUAUCCGUGCAACCCAGAUCAUUUUGAGCCCUAAAUUUAGCCCUAAAUUAUUUUAUAAAUUUCUCCUCCUCAAAUUUAUUAAAUAAAACAUUUUGACUCCUUAAGUAAAGGCGAUUGAAAAAGCUCUAAGCGCUAUAGAAAUAGUACCGCAAGGGAAAAAUGAAAUAAUAAUGAAACAAUUAAAGCUACUUACAGCAGAGAAUUUACCUCG
Molecule: ribosomal RNA, 743 nt
Filed under: Polypedates leucomystax (Java whipping frog)
Lineage: Eukaryota; Metazoa; Chordata; Amphibia; Anura; Rhacophoridae
Description: partial 12S ribosomal RNA
Rfam family: Bacterial small subunit ribosomal RNA (bases 1-497)
Source: RNAcentral